UUAGCUAGUUGGUGAGGUAAAGGCUCACCGAGGCGACGAUCUGUAGCGGGUCUGAGAGGAUGAUCCGCCACACUGGAACUGAGACACGGUCCAGACUCCUACGGGAGGCAGCAGUGGGGAAUUUUGGACAAUGGGGGCAACCCUGAUCCAGCCAUGCCGCGUGAGUGAAGAAGGCCUUCGGGUUGUAAAGCUCUUUCGGCCGGGAAGAAAUCGCAUGGGUUAAUACCCUGUGCGGAUGACGGUACCGGCAUAAGAAGCACCGGCUAACUACGUGCCAGCAGCCGCGGUAAUACGUAGGGUGCGAGCGUUAAUCGGAAUUACUGGGCGUAAAGCGUGCGCAGGCGGUUUUUUAAGACAGGCGUGAAAUCCCCGGGCUCAACCUGGGAACUGCGCUUGUGACUGGAAGGCUAGAGUAUGGCAGAGGGGGGUGGAAUUCCACGUGUAGCAGUGAAAUGCGUAGAGAUGUGGAGGAACACCAAUGGCGAAGGCAGCCCCCUGGGCCAAUACUGACGCUCAUGCACGAAAGCGUGGGUAGCAAACAGGAUUAGAUACCCUGGUAGUCCACGCCCUAAACGAUGUCAACUAGGUGUUGGGUGGGUAAAACCAUUUAGUACCGGAGCUAACGCGUGAAGUUGACCGCCUGGGGAGUACGGCCGCAAGGUUAAAACUCAAAGGAAUUGACGGGGACCCGCACAAGCGGUGGAUGAUGUGGAUUAAUUCGAUGCAACGCGAAAAACCUUACCUACCCUUGACAUGUCCAGGAGCCUGAAGAGAUUUGGGUGUGCCCGAAAGGGAACUGGAACACAGGUGCUGCAUGGCUGUCGUCAGCUCGUGUCGUGAGAUGUUGGGUUAAGUCCCGCAACGAGCGCAACCCUUGUCGUUAAUUGCCAUCAUUUAGUUGGGCACUUUAACGAGACUGCCGGUGACAAACCGGAGGAAGGUGGGGAUGACGUCAAGUCCUCAUGGCCCUUAUGGGUAGGGCUUCACACGUCAUACAAUGGUCGGUACAAAGGGUUGCCAAGCCGCGAGGUGGAGCCAAUCCCAGAAAGCCGAUCGUAGUCCGGAUCGCAGGCUGCAACUCGCCUGCGUGAAGUCGGAAUCGCUAGUAAUCGUGGAUCAGCAUGUCACGGUGAAUACGUUCCCGGGUCUUGUACACACCGCCCGUCACACCAUGGGAGCGGGUUCCGCCAGAAGUAGGUAGCCUAACCGCAAGGAGGGCGCUUACCACGGCGGGGUUCGUGACUGGGGUGAAGUCGG
RNAcentral lists this ribosomal RNA (1257 nucleotides) under metagenome. RNAcentral's name for it is "bacterial SSU rRNA". It matches the Rfam family "Bacterial small subunit ribosomal RNA", at positions 241 to 1489 of the family's 1533-position model. The record is from RNAcentral.